CAAUCGGCCCUUUUCAGGGCCAUCAACACCAUAACGUAGAUGACAG
Non-coding RNA from Nasonia vitripennis (jewel wasp), 46 nucleotides. The record is from Rfam. NCBI's taxonomy places the organism in Eukaryota, Metazoa, Arthropoda, Insecta, Hymenoptera, Pteromalidae.